CGCCACAGCCAUAUCACCCUGCAGCCAGUUACUCACUGAAGCUAAGCAGGGCUGAGCCUGGUCAGUACCUGGAUGGGAGACCACAUGGGAAAGCUAGGAUGCAGUUGGAA
RNAcentral lists this ribosomal RNA (110 nucleotides) under Danio rerio (zebrafish). The record is from RNAcentral. Lineage: Eukaryota; Metazoa; Chordata; Actinopteri; Cypriniformes; Danionidae.